AGGAUAGGUGGGUUUCAUUGA
RNAcentral lists this microRNA (21 nucleotides) under Gallus gallus (chicken). RNAcentral's name for it is "Gga-Mir-10585_3p* (star (passenger))". The record is from RNAcentral. Lineage: Eukaryota; Metazoa; Chordata; Aves; Galliformes; Phasianidae.